ACCGUUUACACAACACGGGUGUCAAACUCAACUUCCCUAAGGGCCACACUAGAAAAUGAGACUUUCAUCAAGAGCCAGACACAGAAUGUAUUGCUUUUAUGUCAUGGGGAAAGUCAAAUAUCUUUGACUACAUUAUUGCAUGUCUCAUUUAGUCUUCUCACUCACAGUUUGGUCAACAAAAA
Long non-coding RNA from Etheostoma spectabile (orangethroat darter), 182 nucleotides. RefSeq lists it as uncharacterized. Lineage: Eukaryota; Metazoa; Chordata; Actinopteri; Perciformes; Percidae. The transcript has 3 exons. The record is from RefSeq and is a predicted model, not a curated record.